CCUACGGGAGGCAGCAGUGAGGAAUAUUGGUCAAUGGACGAGAGUCUGAACCAGCCAAGUAGCGUGAAGGAUGACUGCCCUAUGGGUUGUAAACUUCUUUUAUAUGGGAAUAAAAUGUUCCACGUGUGGGAUUUUGUAUGUACCAUAUGAAUAAGGAUCGGCUAACUCCGUGCCAGCAGCCGCGGUAAUACGGAGGAUCCGAGCGUUCUCCGGAUUUAUUGGGUUUAAAGGGAGCGUAGGUUGAUUGUUAAGUCAGUUGUGAAAGUUUGCGGCUCAACCGUAAAAUUGCAGUUGAAACUGGCAGUCGUGAGUACAGUAGAGGUGGGCGGAAUUCGUGGUGUAGCGGUGAAAUGCUUAGAUAUCACGAAGAACUCCGAUUGCGAAGGCAGCUCACUGGACUGCAACUGACACUGAGGCUCGAAAGUGUGGGUAUCAAACAGGAUUAGAUACCCCAGUAGUC
This 460-nucleotide ribosomal RNA is filed under the name uncultured bacterium. Its description in RNAcentral is "partial 16S ribosomal RNA". It matches the Rfam family "Bacterial small subunit ribosomal RNA", at positions 338 to 795 of the family's 1533-position model. The record is from RNAcentral.